Molecule: long non-coding RNA, 261 nt
Filed under: Trifolium pratense (red clover)
Lineage: Eukaryota; Viridiplantae; Streptophyta; Magnoliopsida; Fabales; Fabaceae
Description: long non-coding RNA (TPRA_LNC003817)
Source: RNAcentral
AAAGAAGAGAACAACCGUUACGGUGGUGAAAAACGGUUACAACUCCAAAACUGCGGUUCUUGGAGCUAGGCCCUAUUGAAAGGCUCUAGAUACCACUUGUUGUAACUGAAAGAUGUUUGUUGUAACCAACUCAAUUGUUACUCAUUGAUUUUCUAAGUGAUUACAAAGCUAGGCUUAUAUAGCUUGCCACACAAGCAACACAAAUGGGCUUGAUACACAACUAGGCCCAAUGCAAGCUAAGCCCAAACACACAUAUACAAC